CAGCUCUCCGAGUAGUGUGGACGUUUAUUGGGCCUAAAGCAUCCGUAGCUUGCUAGAUAAGUCCCCUGUUAAAUCCACCGAUUCAAUCGUUGGAUUGCGGGGGAUACUGUUUGGCUAGGGGACGGGAGAGGUCGACGGUAUUUCCGGGGUAGGGGUGAAAUCCUAUAAUCCCGGGAGGACCACCAGUGGCGAAGGCUGUCGACUAGAACGCGCCCGACGGUGAGGGAUGAAAGCUGGGGGAGCGAACCGGAUUAGAGACCCGAGUAGUCC
Molecule: ribosomal RNA, 270 nt
Filed under: uncultured archaeon
Lineage: Archaea
Description: partial 16S ribosomal RNA
Rfam family: Archaeal small subunit ribosomal RNA
Source: RNAcentral